This 252-nucleotide ribosomal RNA is filed under the name uncultured bacterium. RNAcentral's name for it is "partial 16S ribosomal RNA". It matches the Rfam family "Bacterial small subunit ribosomal RNA", at positions 524 to 776 of the family's 1533-position model. The record is from RNAcentral.
UACGUAGGGUCCAAGCGUUAUCCGGAAUCACUGGGCGUAAAGCGUGCGUAGGUGGUUCGUUAAGUGAGAUGUUAAAACGUGUGGCUCAACCAUAUCGUUGUAUCUCAUACUGGCGAACUAGAGGAUGGCAGAGGCAAGUGGAAUUUCUCGUGUAGCAGUGAAAUGCGUAGAUAUGAGAAGGAACACCAAUGGCGAAGGCAGCUUGCUGGGCCACCCCUGACACUGAGGUACGAAAGCGUGGGAGCGAACAGG